UACGGAGGGUGCAAGCGUUAUUCGGAAUCACUGGGCGUAAAGGGUGUGUAGGCGGUCUGUUAAGUCUGGUGUGAAAUCCCUGCGCUCAACGGAGGAACGGCGCUGGAAACUGGCAGGCUUGAGUACCGGAGAGGAAGGUGGAAUUCCCGGUGUAGCGGUGAAAUGCGUAGAUAUCAGGAGGAACACCAGUGGCGAAGGCGGCUCUCUGGACGCAUACUGACGCUGAGAUGCGAAAGCGUGGGGAGCAAACAGG
Molecule: ribosomal RNA, 253 nt
Filed under: uncultured bacterium
Lineage: Bacteria
Description: partial 16S ribosomal RNA
Rfam family: Bacterial small subunit ribosomal RNA
Source: RNAcentral